AACGAACGCUGGCGGCAUGCCUAACACAUGCAAGUCGAACGAGACCUCCGGGUUUGGUGGCGCACGGGUGCGUAAAGCGUGGGAAACUGCGCUUGGGUUCGGAAUAACUCUCCGAGAGGGGUGCUAAUAACGGAUAAUGUCUUCGGACAAAAGAUUUAUCGCCUUUGGAUGGGCCCGCGUUGGUUUGGUUAGUUGGUAGGGUAAAAGCCUCCAAAGGCGACGAUCCAUAGCUGGUUGGUGAGGAGGAUCAGCCACACUGGGACUCGGACACGGCCCAGACUCGUGCGGGAGGCAGGAGUGAGUGAUAUAGGACAAUGGGCGUAAGGCUGAGCCAGCGAGGCCGCGAGAGUGAUGUAGGCCUUAGGGAUGUAAAGCUCUAUGAACCGAGAUGUUAAUGACAGUACCGGGAGAAUAAGCUCCGGCUAACUCCGUG
This 433-nucleotide ribosomal RNA is filed under the name uncultured bacterium. RNAcentral describes it as "partial 16S ribosomal RNA". It matches the Rfam family "Bacterial small subunit ribosomal RNA", at positions 29 to 507 of the family's 1533-position model. The record is from RNAcentral.